Molecule: transfer RNA, 68 nt
Filed under: Azana sp. WQY005
Lineage: Eukaryota; Metazoa; Arthropoda; Insecta; Diptera; Mycetophilidae
Description: tRNA-Asn
Source: RNAcentral
UUAAUUGAAACCAAAAAGAGGUCUAUUAUUGUUAAUAAUAUCAUUGAAUAAAAAUUUUUCCAAUUAAA